UACGUAGGGGGCGAGCGUUGUCCGGAAUCAUUGGGCGUAAAGCGCGUGUAGGCGGCCCGGUAAGUCCGCUGUGAAAGUCCAGGGCUCAACCCUGGGAUGCCGGUGGAUACUGUCGGGCUCGAGUCCGGAAGAGGCGAGUGGAAUUCCUGGUGUAGCAGUGAAAUGCGCAGAUAUCAGGAGGAACACCAAUGGCGAAGGCAGCUCGCUGGGACGUGACUGACGCUGAGACGCGAAAGCGUGGGGAGCAAACAGG
This 253-nucleotide ribosomal RNA is filed under the name uncultured bacterium. RNAcentral's name for it is "partial 16S ribosomal RNA". It matches the Rfam family "Bacterial small subunit ribosomal RNA", at positions 524 to 776 of the family's 1533-position model. The record is from RNAcentral.